GGAUUGACAGCUUCUAAAUAUUGUGAAGUGAAUUAUGGAAUAGAAAUGUGAUUGGUAUUAUUUGAGAAGAAGAAAGAUUGAAUGUUGAAAUCUGAUUGUAGUUCAGCAGAGAGAAUGAGUCUAUGUUUGUGUGAAACAUCGUAAUGUGAAUGGCAGUUCUGUAUGAAGAAUUCCAAUGAUUAGAAUGAGGGUAAUUGUGUGCUGAAAGCUAUGAAGGCGUAGUAUUAUAGUUGGAGAUUAUGAGGGUGAAUAUAUUGGUAGAAAUAGCAGUUAUUGGUAUGACUGAAUUGCUAUAAGGAAGAGACCGAUAAGGUGAAGGAGGAGAUUAUAGUUUUUUUGUGUGUUCAGAUAUUGAAAAUAGAGACAAUACAUUCAGGAGGUAAUUGAUUGUGUGACCCUAAAGUGAAUGCUUAAGCAACUAGUCAUUCCCCGUGUUCGAAUUCUCCUAUACGGGUUUAUUUCCAUUAGAUUAAUUUAGAAUAAGUAAAAUGAGCAAUCAUAUUUUGGCGCCACUACUAGGGAGCAAUCACAUUUUGUCGCCGCUACCGGGAGUGAUAAUAGCUUUGAGUAUUAGGAAUUA
RNAcentral lists this long non-coding RNA (580 nucleotides) under Physcomitrium patens. RNAcentral's name for it is "long non-coding RNA (PPAT_LNC003815)". The record is from RNAcentral. Lineage: Eukaryota; Viridiplantae; Streptophyta; Bryopsida; Funariales; Funariaceae.